GAUGAACGCUAGCUACAGGCUUAACACAUGCAAGUCGAGGGGCAGCAUGGUCUUAGCUUGCUAAGGCUGAUGGCGACCGGCGCACGGGUGAGUAACACGUAUCCAACCUGCCGUCUACUCUUGGCCAGCCUUCUGAAAGGAAGAUUAAUCCAGGAUGGGAUCAUGAGUUCACAUGUCCGCAUGAUUAAAGGUAUUUUCCGGUAGACGAUGGGGAUGCGUUCCAUUAGAUAGUAGGCGGGGUAACGGCCCACCUAGUCAACGAUGGAUAGGGGUUCUGAGAGGAAGGUCCCCCACAUUGGAACUGAGACACGGUCCAAACUCCUACGGGAGGCAGCAGUGAGGAAUAUUGGUCAAUGGGCGAUGGCCUGAACCAGCCAAGUAGCGUGAAGGAUGACUGCCCUAUGGGUUGUAAACUUCUUUUAUAAAGGAAUAAAGUCGGGUAUGCAUACC
Molecule: ribosomal RNA, 450 nt
Filed under: uncultured bacterium
Lineage: Bacteria
Description: bacterial SSU rRNA
Rfam family: Bacterial small subunit ribosomal RNA
Source: RNAcentral